CACGGAGGGGGCUAGCGUUGUUCGGAAUGACUGGGCGUAAAGCGCGCGUAGGCGGUUCAGUAAGUUGGAUGUGAAAGCCCGGGGCUCAACCACGGAAGUGCGUUCGAUACUGCCGGACUUGAGACCGAGAGAGGAGAGAGGAAUUCCCAGUGUAGAGGUGAAAUUCGUAGAUAUUAGGAAGAACACCAGUGGCGAAGGCGGCUCUCUGGUCCGGUACUGACGCUGAGGUGCGAAAGCGUGGGGAGCAAACAGG
This 253-nucleotide ribosomal RNA is filed under the name uncultured bacterium. RNAcentral's name for it is "partial 16S ribosomal RNA". It matches the Rfam family "Bacterial small subunit ribosomal RNA", at positions 524 to 776 of the family's 1533-position model. The record is from RNAcentral.